GUCGUUGUAGUAUAGUGGUGAGUAUUUCCGCCUGUCACGCGGAUGACCCGGGCUCAAUCCCCGGCAACGGCG
Molecule: transfer RNA, 72 nt
Filed under: Selaginella moellendorffii
Lineage: Eukaryota; Viridiplantae; Streptophyta; Lycopodiopsida; Selaginellales; Selaginellaceae
Rfam family: tRNA
About the family: Transfer RNA (tRNA) molecules are approximately 80 nucleotides in length. Their secondary structure includes four short double-helical elements and three loops (D, anti-codon, and T loops). Further hydrogen bonds mediate the characteristic L-shaped molecular structure. tRNAs have two regions of fundamental functional importance: the anti-codon, which is responsible for specific mRNA codon recognition, and the 3' end, to which the tRNAs corresponding amino acid is attached (by aminoacyl-tRNA synthetases). tRNAs cope with the degeneracy of the genetic code in two manners: having more than one tRNA (with a specific anti-codon) for a particular amino acid; and 'wobble' base-pairing, i.e. permitting non-standard base-pairing at the 3rd anti-codon position.
Source: Rfam by way of RNAcentral